RNAcentral lists this long non-coding RNA (535 nucleotides) under Elaeis guineensis (African oil palm). RNAcentral describes it as "long non-coding RNA (EGUI_LNC014003)". Lineage: Eukaryota; Viridiplantae; Streptophyta; Magnoliopsida; Arecales; Arecaceae. The record is from RNAcentral.
CUGCCAUCUGAUCUUUUACUGUCAUAUUAGAGGAGUUCCAAAUCUUUCUAUUCUCACAGCGACAAACGGCCUAGUCACUUGCUCUUUAACUCUCUCCUCCACCAAACAAGAACGUGAUCUCAGCAACCUCGAGAUGUAUGUGCCGUUAUUCCUUGAUAGUCAGAGCACAUCUCUAAAGCUAUUAUCCUUUGACAGGCAACGCAUGUCUCCAAAAGUGAUAGGUAUCGCCUUCACCUAUAAAAUCUUUUCUUCAGAACCCACCAGAUAAGUGAACACCUACCUUGCAAAAGAAGACUGACCUUGCAUGCUUUAUCUCAAAAACAGACCGCAUAUUUAUUGGAAUCAGCUCUUCUAUAGAACUCUGAGUCCACCAUUCUCCACCUUCUAUACAUCAUUCUUUGCUUCUCAUUCUCCAUUUUUCAUUACCAGCUUUUUACUCUUCAUACUCGGCACUACCUUUACUCUUUAUCCACUACAUAGAUCUUCUUUGUUUGUUUUCGUGAGAGAUUGAUUUAGGCAUCAAAGAACCCCCAAC